This 341-nucleotide long non-coding RNA is filed under the name Mus musculus (house mouse). RNAcentral describes it as "predicted gene, 37432". The record is from RNAcentral. Lineage: Eukaryota; Metazoa; Chordata; Mammalia; Rodentia; Muridae.
AUCUUAGAUGCAAACAGAGGAACAACAGCGAGCAUAUUCACACAUUUGCUCAAGCCUCUUGUCAGAAGCCAAUACCUUGUCCACCCUGGAGCUGUCCCUGGUCUCACUGCCCUGUGACCACCACCAGUAACACCAGGAAUGACUCUUUGCUUCAGUGAUCCCACAGACCCUGCUGGAGUCAGCGAUGAAGACCUAAAGGGGGUUCCAUGUCCUUGGCAUAGAAGCAGAAGGCCUGGGAAGGUGGACCCAAGGCUAGCAAUCUGCUUAGCAGGUGUCACAGGAAGGGGGUGAGUGUGGCUCCUGAGGAUGUCCAAGGAUGUGCCCUGGCUAUCAGGCAGCAU